CAAGACGUAGCUAUAAUACUAAAGCAUUCAGCUUACACCUGAAAGAUAUCUACCACACACUAGAUCGUCUUGA
Molecule: transfer RNA, 73 nt
Filed under: Scytalopus superciliaris
Lineage: Eukaryota; Metazoa; Chordata; Aves; Passeriformes; Rhinocryptidae
Description: tRNA-Val
Source: RNAcentral